This is a non-coding RNA of Paramuricea clavata, 73 nucleotides long. The record is from the annotation of a GenBank genome assembly. NCBI's taxonomy places the organism in Eukaryota, Metazoa, Cnidaria, Anthozoa, Malacalcyonacea, Plexauridae.
GUCACUGUGGCGCAAUGGGUUAGCGCGUUCGGCUGUUAACUGAAAGGUUGAUGGUUGGAAUCAUCCACGGACG